This 364-nucleotide ribosomal RNA is filed under the name uncultured bacterium. Its description in RNAcentral is "partial 16S ribosomal RNA". It matches the Rfam family "Bacterial small subunit ribosomal RNA", at positions 338 to 699 of the family's 1533-position model. The record is from RNAcentral.
CCUACGGGUGGCAGCAGUGAGGAAUAUUGGUCAAUGGCCGGAAGGCUGAACCAGCCAUGCCGCGUGAAGGUCAGUGCCCUAUGGGCUGUAAACUUCUUUUGUGCGGGAGCAAUAAUGGUCACGUGUGGCCAGACGAGAGUACCGUACGAAUAAGCAUCAGCUAACUCCGUGCCAGCAGCCGCGGGAAUACUGGGGAUGCAAGCGGUAUCCCGAUUUAUUGGUUUGAAAGGGUGCGUAGGCUGUGAGGUAAGUCAGCGGUGAAAUGCCCCCGCUCAACGGGGUGAAGUGCCAUUGAUACUGGCUUGCUGGAAUGCGGAUGCGGUGGGAGGAAUGUGUGGUGUAGCGGUGAAAUGCAUAGAUAUCA